UGAAAUGCUGUGGGGAUCCCAGA
RNAcentral lists this non-coding RNA (23 nucleotides) under Mus musculus (house mouse). Lineage: Eukaryota; Metazoa; Chordata; Mammalia; Rodentia; Muridae. The record is from RNAcentral.